UCCUGCAGAUGAACAGCCAUUGGGGUA
This 27-nucleotide non-coding RNA is filed under the name Homo sapiens (human). The record is from RNAcentral. Lineage: Eukaryota; Metazoa; Chordata; Mammalia; Primates; Hominidae.